Molecule: long non-coding RNA, 1089 nt
Filed under: Equus caballus (horse)
Lineage: Eukaryota; Metazoa; Chordata; Mammalia; Perissodactyla; Equidae
Description: lncRNA (ENSECAG00000043945.1)
Source: RNAcentral
GUACACCAUACCCAGUUUUUCCGAAUGCUAACAUCUUAUAUUACUGUGGUACAUAGGUUACAUUGAUGAAACAGUAUUGAUACUUUAUUAUCAAUGAAAUUCCUUACAUUAUUGGGAUAUUCUUGGUUUUUACCCAGUGCCCUUUUCUAUUCCAGGAUCCCAUCCAGGACACCACAUGACAUUCAGUUGUCUUGCUUCUUUAGGCUCCUCCUGGCUCUGUGCAGCGUCCCGAGGGAGACACCUUGCUACAGGCAGCUGGAGGCUACAGGGUGCCCUUCAACUCUCUGAGGUUCUCAGGUCACAAGAACAGAAACCGCUUUACUCGUGAGCCCCCAGCAUCCCACCGCACAUCAUCACAUUCAUUCCAGGCAGGGGGAGCCGGGAGAGACCAUCAACCUCAACGCGGAGAACGAGGGAGUCCGAGAGCGGAUGGCCUGCUCAGGCCGGUGGCCGGUCAGCAGCCCACAGGGAGCCAGGCCUGCAGAGGAGCUGGGUGGUACCCAGCUCAUCAUCCUGCUCCUCCUUUCCGGGGCCGAGCCCCCUGGGCCUCAUCACCUCUUGGGUGGUCUUGUCAGUGGGAAAUUAUGGAUUUGACCUGGCCUUCAUUAUCAUAAGGAAAUUAUCAGGAAUGUGGAAAACACUUUUGGUCCACAUACAUCUGUAGGAGCAGUAGUUACAGUAGGACGAGCUGGAGAUCCAACCGUCCAAUGUGGAGAGGCUGAGGGAAGUCACUCAGAGAGCCUGCAAACUCGGCGAACGCCGGGUGUGUGGCGCUAAGUAGCAUAGAUCUUGUGUGAAGUGCUCUUGUCACACAAAAGGAGGGGACUGUUGUGGUGAUGGUGAAGUUUGUGGUGACCGUUUCAUGAGUGUUACUUACUUUCAAGCUCAUCAAGGUAUGUGCAUUAAAUGUGUACACUUUUUUUUGUGUUGGCCAAUCUCAAUUAAGAAUAAAAAGAAACAAGAGCUUAGAAGGGCGUCCGUGGCAUGAGCCCUGAAGGUCGACACGAGUGGAGGACGUGACACACCGCAUCUCCACACUGAGCUGUGCUUUCAAAAACUUUCCUUCUAUUUGUAUAUCUUCCAGAUUCC